AUUGAACGCUGGCGGCAGGCCUAACACAUGCAAGUCGAACGGUAACAGGAAACAGCUUGCUGUUUCGCUGACGAGUGGCGGACGGGUGAGUAACGUCUGGGAAACUGCCUGAUGGAGGGGGAUAACUACUGGAAACGGUAGCUAAUACCGCAUAACGUCGCAAGACCAAAGAGGGGGACCUUCGGGCCUCUUGCCAUCGGAUGUGCCCAGAUGGGAUUAGCUAGUAGGUGGGGUAACGGCUCACCUAGGCGACGAUCCCUAGCUGGUCUGAGAGGAUGACCAGCCACACUGGAACUGAGACACGGUCCAGACUCCUACGGGAGGCAGCAGUGGGGAAUAUUGCACAAUGGGCGCAAGCCUGAUGCAGCCAUGCCGCGUGUAUGAAGAAGGCCUUCGGGUUGUAAAGUACUUUCAGCGGGGAGGAAGGGAGUAAAGUUAAGACCUUUACUCAUUGACGUUACCCGCAGAAGAAGCACCGGCUAACUCCGU
RNAcentral lists this ribosomal RNA (489 nucleotides) under uncultured bacterium. RNAcentral describes it as "partial 16S ribosomal RNA". It matches the Rfam family "Bacterial small subunit ribosomal RNA", at positions 30 to 506 of the family's 1533-position model. The record is from RNAcentral.